Molecule: long non-coding RNA, 1281 nt
Filed under: Phasianus colchicus (ring-necked pheasant)
Lineage: Eukaryota; Metazoa; Chordata; Aves; Galliformes; Phasianidae
Description: lncRNA (ENSPCLG00000009807.1)
Source: RNAcentral
AUGGGGAGCAACUUCAGCAUGCAGACCUGCUGUGGGACCUGUGGGAAUUACAAGAAGCAGGAGGAAGUGAAUGAAGACACUAGUGAGACCAAGCCAAUUCUGCACCCCUCAGGGGAUACACCAAUGCAUACUGAUGCACAGCCUUCCCCACCAGCCCUGGAAACCUCUGAACAAAUCUCUGAAGCUCAGUCAUUCUGCCAGGACCAACAGCUGCCAGCUGAUAUUGCAGAGGAGAACAUGGAGACCUGCUGUCUUGCAGAUCCCGUGGGAAUGACUGAGGAAUGGAAGGCAGCCUGGAGCUCUGUGGAUUUCUUGGUGGCAUUCUCAGACAGGGAGACCAAAGAAGAGGCUGAAGUUCUGGAUCAGCAAGAAAGAGAGAAAGCAUGCAAUGCAGAAGAGAAAAUAAAACCUGCUCCUUAUGAUGAGGCCCAGCUGGCUAUGCACACAGCUCAGGAUCUGAAGCUUGCUGCAGAUAUAGUUCAGCCUGCUGAACAGGCUGGGGCUGGCAGUGAGGAUGGCCCACGUGCUGGAAUAACUCCCCAAGAAAUAAAUAUUCUCGAGCUCAUGGAAAGCGCAUGGAAAACUGCAGCUGCUCAAGACUUUGAGAUCAAGCCUCCCAGGGAGACUGGUGAGAGUUUGACAGGAUGGAACUUGCCACUCUAUGCUGUGCAGAAGAUGGCAAAAGAGGCUGAGCCCAACCUUCCUGCUGGGCACACGGAGCAGGCAGGCAGGGCUGGCCUUGCUGAAGGAAGAACUCAACUCACUGAGAGUGUCCAGAUCGCAUCUCCUGCAAAGGCUGCUUCUCUAAUGAACGUGCAGGAUACAGAGGAGACUGAGAAUAGAGUGGAUCCUGCAGACGCCGUAGUGGCAGAGAUGCGCUCUACUUCUGCGGUGCCUCAAGAAACCCUGUCUCCAGAAGGGUCAGCCAACCAGCUGCUUGACUUCUUACAGCAAGAGACUCGGUCUGCUGUGCCAGCUGCACAAGGGGUGCAGAGCUGUGCAGAAUCUGCUGAACUGAGUGAGGUUUUAAGUGAUGAAGACCAGGAAGCCCUCAGUGAUACAGUGAGAAGUGAGGAGAGCAGGGAAUGCAAUCUAAAAACUCCAGCAGAUGAGGCAGAGCCACAGGAGAGGGUUGUGCAACAAGUGCUGCAGCUUGCAGAAGAACUGGCUUGUGCCCAGGUGCCUGCAGAGGAAGAAGCUGAGCUCCUCAGUGUGGUACCAAUCCUGUAUGAAGUGCCUGGGAGUGAAGGAGACGUGCAGGUUGAAAAUGCUGAAGCUUGA